CCAGGAUCCAAAGACUAAAUUUCAUUAAACUAAGGUCCUUGUGAGAGCCCUUCUUUGUCUUCUGUCUCAAAGCUUGCUUCCUGAGGUAUUCCUUGUGAUAAGACUCUUAACUGAUUUAUGGAGGUGGCAAAUGAUGGGUGCUACCGUGUGACAAUCAACAUCACUUUGACAUUUGAAAGCACCUUCCUCCAGAGCUGCUUGCCUCCGGAAGAGAGUGCUCAGGAGUGGUUACUGGCGGAAGAUCUGGCCUAAUAGCCCCAGCUUGGUGUGGGAAAACUGGGGAACAAUACCAUCGUGCCCUGUGAGAAACAGGAUGCAGAUGGGCAUCCCUGCUUCCUCUUAUCUGUUGGCAAGGCCCGGAAGAUGAUAACAAAGGAAUUUCUGCUGAGAUCCCAGAGCCAGUAGCUGCCACUCCAAGGAGAGCUGACUCAACCAAUUUGGACUUACAAAUAAGUUUGUACUGCCAUCGUUGUCGUGUUCGCUGCUGUGGUCACCACUGUCAACAAAAGACUCGACGACCCACCACUACUGAAAAUCAAUGACUGAACUACGAACCACGUUGGACUAUGGUGAAAGUGAAAAGCAGCAAGUGAAACAAUGCAUUGUACAAAAGAAGCUACUGAGACAAACAUUUAAGAUCUUAUCAAACACAGAUCUAAGGCUUAUUCUCGGUGAUGCAUUGAGACUACAAGCAGUGACAGAGACUGAACUAGGCUGACCACUGUUCUGGAGCCUACAGUGAGGAUCCACAGCAAAGAUGUGGAGCUUGCAAAUCACAUGGACACAGAGAGACUUCUGUGAGAAAUUGAACAGAUCAGUCAAAUUCCAGAGAUUAUGGAAAGAGUCUUAAUACAGAGAGGGGAAAAAAAAAAAAAAGGUACCAAAACAAACAAACAAGCGAACAAACAAGAAAAACAAACAAACAAACAAACAACAACAACAGCAACAAAACAAUUCAGUGCCUGAAAUCAGUCAAAAGGGGCAGAUUGUGUAUAGUGCUUGUAAAAAUGCUUGUAAAAGUCUUAUAUGGCCACUGCAAUAUUUCUUCAUUAAAAAAAGAAAUACUAUUGUUCAUAUUCUAAUAAGGAAUGGUGAUUUUUGAUUUAAAAUCUCUGUUAGUCAUUUAUGGGGAGCCAA
This 1137-nucleotide long non-coding RNA is filed under the name Gallus gallus (chicken). RNAcentral describes it as "lncRNA (ENSGALG00010006199.1)". Lineage: Eukaryota; Metazoa; Chordata; Aves; Galliformes; Phasianidae. The record is from RNAcentral.